UAUCUGGUAUCCUUGAAAGAACUGAAAUGACUCUAGAUUCAUGGAAAAAAGUAUCAGAAAGUUUAUGCUCACGCAUUGCUAGUGAUCCGCAAACAAGGUGCAUGGAGAUCCUAGAGCUAAGCUACAAGCAUUUGCCUGACUAUUUGAAGCCGUGCUUUCUCUAUCUUGGAGCAUUUCUUGAGAACAAAGAAAUUCCAGUCCGAAAGUUGACAUGGUUAUGGGUUGCUGAAGGAUUUGUACGAAGUACGGCGUCAAAACGUGUGGAAGAUCUUGCAGAAGAAUAUUUGAAGGACCUCAUUGGCAGAAGCCUAGUAAUAGCUUCGAAAAGCAGAUCCAAUGGUGGAGUUAAAACAUGUUGUGUUCAUGACCUGCUGCGUACUUUAUGCUUGCUGAGAUGUCAGGAAGAAAAUUUUCUGCAUUUAGUAACUGGAUAUAAUUUCCCUUUUGAUGCUUCUUAUGAUGAUUCAGAUUAUGGUGUUGAUCCAGAUUAUCAUCCUACAAAUUGCACAACAUAUGCAAAACGGAGGUUAUCCAUUUGUUCUAAGAGAAAUCAUUUCAUCAUGUCAAGGCCUGGUGGACGUGUCCGCUCUCUACUAUACUCUGCCAGCAGUGAUUUGUAUCCAAGAUGUCCCUACAACAUCUCCUUCAUUUUCGAGAACUUCAAACUUCUCAGAGUGCUGGAUUUGGAAUGCAUCAAUGUGGGUAAUUCUUUCUUCAGUGGAAUAGAGUUAUUGGCUCAUUUGAGGUACUUGGCCCUUUGUGGUGAUAUAGACUAUAUUCCAGCUUCAAUAGCCAACCUCUGGAAUCUGGAAACCUUGAUGAGAAAUUUCUAAGUUUGUGAUGGAUUUUAAAAAAAUUCUACAAAAGGGGUGAUUGUGGCGAGGAAUUCUGUCGGGGGGUCUUCGCAUUCGUGAAAUGCGAGCUCAGGAGAGUUCGCAUUUCACGAAUGCGAGCUCUCAACAGAGCUCGCAUUCCUGAAAUGCGAGCUCAACAGAGCUCGCAUUACAGAGAUGCAAAUUUUUUUUCUUUUUUUUUUGGAGGCAGAGAUUUAUAUUUUUGUACUAAAACAAAAUGUUUUAAGAUGUCACAUGCGCGUUUGCAUUCCUUAAAAAAAAUUUAUGAAAUACGUUAUUUUAUUAUAAUACAUUUUGGUGGAAAUAAAUUAGAUCAAUGUAAAAAUAGAAUGAAAUUAUUAACAUGUAAGGUGUUGACUAUAUUUUAUGAAUAAAAUACUAACUUUUGAUCCUUUUUUGUGAAAUAAAUUUAUUUAUCAAAUUCUAAUUUUCCUUUGUUAUUAAUGAAUCGUAUUUAUUUGUUGACAACGAUGAAUAUUAGUUAUAAGAAUCUAAUAAUUAAUAGUCAUUAAUAUCUGUUACAAUUUUUUUAUUGUAAUUUUAGAAAUUCCAUAACGCAAUGCUAAUUAAAAAUUAUAUAAGUUAUUUUUAUGAGGUGCAUGUUAUUUGUUUGGUAGUUGAAAAGGAAAAGAAAUCAAAUAUCUAACGAUUAAAUCUUGCGUGUUUUACCUUUUACAAUUGAUGCGAAUGUAGAUAUUUUUAGAUAAAAAUCACCGGUUACACAACAUUUGACAUACUGAAAUUGAAAUGGGGUCUUGGCGCUGGGUAGUGGGAGCUCACUGAGCUCGCAUUGUGAAAAUGCGAGCUCACUGAGCUCGCAUUCUCAAAAUGCGAAGACCCCCCAUUUACAGAAACUCCCCCAGGAAACGCCCUCGUUGUAGAAUUCUUUUUUUUUUUCAUCACAAACUAAGAAUUCACCCAAACCUUGAUUGUGAAAGGACUAAAAGGUAAAGUCCUACUGCCACAUACUAUUUG
This 1829-nucleotide long non-coding RNA is filed under the name Coffea arabica (coffee). RNAcentral describes it as "long non-coding RNA (CARA_LNC007363)". Lineage: Eukaryota; Viridiplantae; Streptophyta; Magnoliopsida; Gentianales; Rubiaceae. The record is from RNAcentral.